This is a long non-coding RNA of Hemicordylus capensis (graceful crag lizard), 1343 nucleotides long. RefSeq lists it as uncharacterized. Lineage: Eukaryota; Metazoa; Chordata; Lepidosauria; Squamata; Cordylidae. The record is from RefSeq and is a predicted model, not a curated record. The transcript is spliced from 3 exons.
AGUACUAUGGAGGCCAGCAUUGUGCUCAGUAUACUUUGAAACUUUUCUAUUCUACUGGAGCUGCUGGUCAGAGGAUGGGAAAGCAGGCAAGAGCCCUGGGAUAUAUCGUUUCCAAGACACCUGAUGUCCAUAUCAUGUGCACGGGCAAACUACUUUCCCCACAGUUCCUGGAAUCUAGUGUGCUGCUAUUGCAACCUUCAAGGUGCAUGGAAAAAAGCUGAUGAGACCUCAGAAACUUCUACCACCACAAGAAAUGGUCUUACCAUUGCCACCUUCAAAGGAGUGGAAGCCAGCCCCUCUCAAAGGUAUACGUUCACCAGUCCCAGGACUAUCCCAAAGAGCUUUCCUUGACAAAACCAAAACUGACUAGCUAAGACAGCUAGCCUGCAUCCUUAAGUAUCAGUAACUGAAACUCAUCCAAGCAAAUGUAAUCAGAAGCAGAUGAGGACACUUCCUUUGGUAUACUGGUGACUUUCUGUUUGAUGGCUGGGGACAGACACCACAACUAAGACCAUACUCCACACCUUUCAGAGGAAACAAAAUGUGCUUAUUGUGGGGGGAAGCAUCCUUCCCAGAUACAGAACUGAAAUGGAUGUCUCCACCCUCAGACCUACUUGGAUGUCUCCAUCCUCCUACUUGGUGGAAGCACCUUUGGCAGCAUUUACAGCCACGAGUCUCCACCAACUUUGCACACCUACAGUAUCUGUUUCGGGGUUGUUGUUGUUUAGAUUGUGAGCUCUUUUGGAGAGGGGACAAAUUUUUCCCCAUUUAUUUAUGCAACCACUAUGUAAACCACUUUGAGAACUUUUUUGUUGAAAAUUAGAAUAUACUGUACAUCAGUCAUCAUCAUCAUCAUCAUGGCUCAUAUUCUGUGCAGUGAAACAUGAAUGUUUUAAGUACCACCCCAUGCUGCUUAAAAGCACAAUCACAGUUGUGUGAUGCUACAUCAGUUGAAAUCAUGGACAUAGUGUCAUGCAACUACAAUUGCUAUUUUACUGCAAUUGCGCAAUUUUACAUCACAGCAAAAUGCCCGUGUUCCACAACACCGCAGACAAUGUCUGAGAUGCAAGCAGCAGUGGGGUCAGUACUGAACUGUCUAUAUUUCACUGCACAGAAUGCAAUUCAGUAAAAAUCAUAAUGUUGUACACAGACAUAAAGAAGAACUGCUUGUGACUAAACCACACAGCAACAGAAAACAGGCCACUGAAUAAUAGAAUGUUUUUGUGACAUAUUGGGGGCUAUGGAUGUUCAGUGUGGGCUAAAGAAUGCAGAUUGGAAAGUGCUCAACACAGAAAGGUAUGUCAUUGGCAAAGGAGAAUUAAACUCUAAUUAGCAUCAUGGCA